GAUGAACGCUGGCGGCGUGCCUAAUACAUGCAAGUCGAGCGAACAGAUAAGGAGCUUGCUCCUUUGACGUUAGCGGCGGACGGGUGAGUAACACGUGGGUAACCUACCUAUAAGACUGGAAUAACUCCGGGAAACCGGGGCUAAUGCCGGAUAACAUUUAGAACCGCAUGGUUCUAAAGUGAAAGAUGGUUUUGCUAUCACUUAUAGAUGGACCCGCGCCGUAUUAGCUAGUUGGGAAGGUAACGGCUUACCAAGGCAACGAUAGGUAGCCGACCUGAGAGGGUGAUCGGCCACACUGGAACUGAGACACGGUCCAGACUCCUACGGGAGGCAGCAGUAGGGAAUCUUCCGGAAUGGGCGAAAGCCUGACGGAGCAACGCCGCGUGAGUGAUGAAGGUCUUCGGAUCGUAAAACUCUGUUAUUAGGGAAGAACAAAUGUGUAAGUAACUGUGCACGUCUUGACGGUACCUAAUCAGAAAGCCACGGCUAACUACGUG
This 497-nucleotide ribosomal RNA is filed under the name uncultured bacterium. RNAcentral describes it as "partial 16S ribosomal RNA". It matches the Rfam family "Bacterial small subunit ribosomal RNA", at positions 28 to 507 of the family's 1533-position model. The record is from RNAcentral.